GGCUAUGAGUGCAGUCUGACUGCGACUUGUCACCCCAUUGAUCACCAGGGUUGAUCUGGCUGAUCUGGCUGGCUACGUGGGUGUCCCCUUCCUCCCACACCACUCCUGUGCGGCCCUCCUGAAGCUGAGCGGAGUGGAAGAGGAUGACUUUCUCCCAUAGAGAAGGACCAUUCUUGGUCAAGGAUAUAUGAGAAGCUUCAGUACCCUGCUAGAACCUCCAAACAAGCUCUUAAGGUCCAUUUCUGGGGCACAUAGGGUAGUCAAACUUCCAAAAAUCCAGACACAUCCGAACAAGUGCUACAUGUAGCAGUCUGCCUUUC
RNAcentral lists this small nuclear RNA (320 nucleotides) under Ursus americanus (American black bear). RNAcentral describes it as "7SK RNA (ENSUAMG00000023467.1)". It matches the Rfam family "7SK RNA". From Rfam's summary of the family: 7SK was discovered as an abundant small nuclear RNA in the mid-70s but a possible function has only recently been suggested. Two independent studies have found that 7SK RNA binds the CDK9/cyclin T complex (known as elongation factor P-TEFb). P-TEFb activates transcription by phosphorylating the C-terminal domain of RNA polymerase II. The record is from Rfam by way of RNAcentral. Lineage: Eukaryota; Metazoa; Chordata; Mammalia; Carnivora; Ursidae.